RNAcentral lists this transfer-messenger RNA (386 nucleotides) under Helicobacter pylori. It matches the Rfam family "transfer-messenger RNA". From Rfam's summary of the family: Bacterial tmRNA, also known as 10Sa RNA or SsrA, is named for its dual tRNA and mRNA-like properties. Its role is to liberate the mRNA from a stalled ribosome. To accomplish this part of the tmRNA is used as a reading frame that ends in a translation stop signal. Lineage: Bacteria; Pseudomonadati; Campylobacterota; Epsilonproteobacteria; Campylobacterales; Helicobacteraceae. The record is from RNAcentral.
GGGGCUGACUUGGAUUUCGACAGAUUUCUUGUCGCACAGAUAGCAUGCCAAGCGCUGCUUGUAAAACAGCAACAAAAAUAACUGUAAACAACACAGAUUACGCUCCAGCUUACGCUAAAGCUGCGUGAGUUAAUCUCCUUUUGGAGCUGGACUGAUUAGAAUUUCUAGCGUUUUAAUCACUCCAUUAACCUUAAGCUAGACGCUUUUAAAAGGUGGUUCGCCUUUUAAACUAAGAAACAAGAACUCUUGAAACUACCUCAAGGUUUUAGAAAGUUGGACCAGAGCUAGUUUUAAGGCUAAAAACUAACCAAUUUUCUAAGCAUUGUAGAAGUUUGUGUUUAGGGCAAGAUUUUUGGACUGGGGUUCGAUUCCCCACAGCUCCACCA